Molecule: ribosomal RNA, 433 nt
Filed under: uncultured bacterium
Lineage: Bacteria
Description: partial 16S ribosomal RNA
Rfam family: Bacterial small subunit ribosomal RNA
Source: RNAcentral
AACGAACGCUGGCGGCAUGCCUAACACAUGCAAGUCGAACGAGACCUUCGGGUCUAGUGGCGCACGGGUGCGUAACGCGUGGGAACCUGCCCUUAGGUUCGGAAUAACUCCCCGAAAGGGGUGCUAAUACCGGAUAAUGUCUUCGGACCAAAGAUUUAUCGCAUUUGGAUGGGCCCGCGUUGGAUUAGCUAGUUGGUAGGGUAAAAGCCUACCAAGGCGACGAUCCAUAGCUGGUCUGAGAGGAUGAUCAGCCACACUGGGACUGAGACACGGCCCAGACCCCACCGGAGGGAAGCGGGGGGAAAGAUGGGAAAGGGGGCGAAGGUGUGACCCAUCAACGCCGGGGGAGAAAGGAAGCCUGUGGGGUUGAAAAGCUUUUUACCCCGGGAUAAUAAUGACAGUCCCGGAAAAAAAAGCCCCGGCAACCUCCGUC